CCGCGAAGUAGAUGUUCUUGCAGUUGUCCACGACGAAGUCGUCCGCGCGCGGCUGGUCCCGGCUGCUGUCGAUGAUGGAGCCCAGGAAGUCGCGGCCGGGCGCCAGCGCCGCCGCUGCCGCCUUGCGCUCGCUCGCCAGCUGCAGGAUCAGCGACCGGAUCUCGUGCGUGAGCUUCCAGAUCCUCCGGUUCUUCCUCGUGGGCAGGUGCCUGAGCGACGGGAUGGUGAAGAUGACGCUGGUCUCGGACAUGAGGCCCGACAGCGCCCUGAGCCGGAGGAAGAUCUCCCGCCCCCUGGAGUAGUCGCCCCCGAAGCAGGCCCUGGAGAUGACGUCGAAGG
RNAcentral lists this unclassified non-coding RNA (339 nucleotides) under Zea mays. RNAcentral describes it as "misc RNA Zm00001eb290960". The record is from RNAcentral. Lineage: Eukaryota; Viridiplantae; Streptophyta; Magnoliopsida; Poales; Poaceae.